Molecule: small RNA, 1395 nt
Filed under: Pongo abelii (Sumatran orangutan)
Lineage: Eukaryota; Metazoa; Chordata; Mammalia; Primates; Hominidae
Description: retained intron
Source: RNAcentral
AAUUUACACGCCGUGUAACUGUGAAUCUUUUAAAGCCUCAGUUUUAUGACCCUGUGGAGCCAGGGGACUUUGAAGGACUUCUGAUGACACACCUGAACAGCCUGGAUGUGCAGCUUGCCCAGGAGCUUGGGGACUUCACUGAUGACGACUUGGAUGUGGUGUUCACGCCAAAGGAAUGUAGGACUUUGCAGCCCUCUUUGCCAGAGGAAGGGGUUGAACUGGACCCUCAUGUCAGGGACUGUGUUCAGACCUACAUCCGUGAGUGGCUAAUCGUGAACCAGAAAAACCAAGGAAGUCCAGAAAUCUGUGGCUUUAAAAAGACUGGAUCUCGAAAAGAUUUUCACAAGACGCUUCCGAAACAGACGUUUGAGUCGGAAACCUUGGAGUGCAGUGAACCCGCUGCUCAGGCAGGCCCCUGCCACUUAAACGUGCUGUGCGAUGUGUCUGGGAAAGGCCCCAUCACUGCCUGUGACUUUGACCUCCGCAGCCUGCAGCCUGACAAGCGGCUAGAAAACCUCCUGCAGCAAGUGAGUGCUGAGGACUUUGAGAAGCAGAAUGAGGAGGCCCGGAGGACCAAUCGGCAGGCCGAGCUCUUUGCCCUUUACCCCUCAGUGGACGAGGUGGGUGCCACUGUUUCCAUACUGGAGAAUCUCAGUGAAGACUCUGGGAGUCAUGUGGACAAUUGUGUUGUUCGUUAUUACUAUAUAGCAGCCCAUGAUGUCAGGGCUCACUUGUAUGAUUUCUGGGGCCUUGUUUUUCACUCAGGCAAGCCUGUGUGUCAUAGCAGAGCCAAUAUUGAUUAUCAUACAGAUGGGAUUCUGAUAAUAAUAACAACUGGAAUUUUCAUAGCCCUUUACAAAAUAUGUUCACUAACAGCAUCUCAUUUAAUCCCCAAACGUUUCAAGGGUCUACAUGUAGUAAUCAUACCCAGCAAGUCAAACCAUCCUAUUAUUUGAGGGUAUGUGUGGUCACUACUCCAUUGAGACAUACAUUACUUAAACUUUGAUGUUCUUUAGUGCUUUGUUACUUUCUUUUUAAUGAUCUCUAUGAGCAACCAGAAAGACCUGCUUUGAAAACAUUUCAGGCUAGGAUAAUCACAGCCCGUGCUCCCAAUGUGUAGAACUUUGGGAUCUUGAUUGUUUACUUCUUCAUUUAUUGGAGCUGACUGACAACAAUAGGAUAAUGUAGACUUUGCCUGUGGUCACUGCCUGAGGCACUUUGGAUGAAAUGAGAGGUGACCAUCAUUCAAGCCUUGUGUCUGUUUGAACUCCUUAUACUGUAUAGGAGGCUCUCAGUUUUCCCCUCUGCGUCAGAUUAUCUACACUUCUGGGUCUUGCCAGAACAGAUUACUGCUAUACCUCUGCUGUCCAAAUCGUAUUGAAAGUUCAGUUGGAA